Cervus elaphus (red deer) is the source of this 3555-nucleotide long non-coding RNA. RefSeq lists it as uncharacterized. Lineage: Eukaryota; Metazoa; Chordata; Mammalia; Artiodactyla; Cervidae. The record is from RefSeq and is a predicted model, not a curated record. The transcript is spliced from 4 exons.
CAGGCUCCUCUGUCUGUGGGCAAGAAUACUGGGUGAUUUGCCAUUUCCUCCUCCAGGGGAUCUUCCUGACUCAGGGACUGAACCCAUGUCUCUUAUGUCUCUGCACCAGCAGACGGAUUCUUUACGGCUAGUUCCACCUGGGGAGCCUGCUUACAUUCUGUUGGUGAGUGGAUAUGAGACGACGGAGAAGAUGUGAUUUCUGUCCUCAAGGAGCAGAUAGUGACAAUGGGGGAGGAGUGGUGUCAAAAAGGUGGAGGCCACAGCAUCUGAUGCUGCAGGAAGGACCUAAAAUGUUUGCAGAGACUAGGACACACUCUGGGACAAGGCCCAACGAUUUUGUUCAAUCCUACAUUGCUUCUUCAUACAGGCUGUGGAAAAGGCAGAAAGAGAAGGAAGAGAGAUUGGAUAAGUUAUUAAAAAAAUCUACAUGAGUUGGAGCCCUCUGUUCACCCACUCUGCCCGUGAACACUUUGUGAGUUAGAGAUGGAAUUCAGAAACCCAUUGAUGCGUAUGUGGGAAGAACAUUCUGCUGAUCAAGUGGGUAGGCAGGGGACAUGGCCUCUGCUACCCAGUCCAUCACAGCAAUAGAAGAGUUCUUUGUAAGCCCUUCAACCUUCACAUUCUCGAAGUCUUGCUCCCUUUGUUCAUAGAAGCUCCAGCAGAAGAAUGUUUCUAGCGAAGGAGCAUUAGUGAUAACCAAAAAGGGCAGUGGGAACCAAAGGGAGUUGAACCUUCAUUUCUGUGAACCACCUACACUUGCUGUUGUUUAUACAGUGAACUAUUGACUGGGAUGAAUGUUUCCAUGAAAGGCCAUUCUUGUAAAAUCUCAUCAGAAUUUAAACCCUUCAGAGGCUGACCCACCUGCAUCUCACUGCUUAGUUUUGGGUUCCUUCUUGACAGUUAAUUACAAGAAGCCUGAACUGCUGAACCAUGGGCCUGGCUGACCAGUUCAAAUUCUCCAACAAAAUAAAUUUAGCUUCACUUCAUUGGAAUUAAAAGGUUGAAGCUUUCAUCAAACAACUGGACUCUGCCCCCUGCUUUGAAAACUGAACCAUGUCUUGAGACAUGAUUUUUGCUUUUUUCUUUCUCCAAUACCCAGUUGCUGGAAUAGUGAUAGAGAAACAGAAGACAUUCAAGUGAAAAGAAAAUCAUACUCUAAUUAUUGGAGAUGCUGUUCUGAAGUUCCCCUUUCAAUAAAAAUGCACAGCCAGUAUUUCUUCAUGGGAAAUGAGCAAAGUUUGAGACGGGUCAGGUGUUUGGGUCUGUAAUUUGCACUGGGCAUUUUCUCCUCUCACAGGCCUAGAGGUUAGAAGCAGCAGAAAUACAAUGAGCAGGCCCUGCCGUUCUUUUCAGGUGCUCAGCUCUCCCUGGGAUCCUAAUUACAGACUCUUUGCAUGAAGAAUUCUUUUUGAAGGUAAUGAGAGUGCUAUAUCCAGAGGAUGCUAAUAAAAGUAGGUUGAGAAAUCUGUUUCGAGGCUGUCUUACUUUUCAGGUCUUAUCUUUCAGGGGACAGAGAAGACACAUUUAUUAUUAAGGACCUGAUAUAUGUCAGCCUUUGGGUUUAGUGUUUUCUAUUUGAGACCUGAAUUCCUCCAGUCCUCUGAUUGCAAGAGAAUAAAUGAGGUCACAUUACUGUAUAAGUGAAAGUUGAACAGCCUUUUACAUUAUGAAUCUGUACAAAGUAUGGCCCAUUUAAAUUUUUUUUUUAAAUUUUGCCUGUGCCACACAGCAUGUGGGGUAUUGGUUCCCUACCCAGGAGUCAAACCACCACCCCUGCAUUGGAAGCAUGGAGUUUUAUCCACUGGACCAUCAGGGAAGUUCCCCCUUCCUUUUUUCUGGCACAUUUUAAAGGCUUCUUCUCCUCCGGUAUCUAUGAGGAGUCCUAAGAGGUGUUUCUCAAGUUCUCAGUGAUGAUCAUGCUCUCAGAGCUGUAUAUUAUGUACGGUAUACUAAGACUAAUCUGAAGGUAAAACUUUGGUAUUUUCCCACCACAGCAUUUGCCAUAGGCUGAAUGCUUGUCCCCUCCCCGGUCCCCCAUGUGUGUGAGGAAACCUAACCUGCAGCGUAAUGGUAUUAGGAGAUGGGGCCUUUGGGAGGGAUUAGGGUCCUUAUGAAAGGAAGUUCAGGGUGCUCCCUUGCAACUUCUGCCCUCUGAGGAUACGGCAGGAAGACUCUCAUCCAGGAAGUGGGUCCCAGUAAUUAUGUCAUCCCAUGGUUGAUUGAUCUUGACUUCCCCAACCUUCAGAAGUCGAGAGAAAUAAACUUUUGUUGUUUAUAAGCCACACAGCCUAUAGUAGUUUUUACAGUAGCACUAACAAAGACAUUGUCUACAUGUAUUAGAAAGGCAAAGAGACAGAGAGAGAGAGAAAGAGAGAGAGAGUUAUUGAAGAAGCAUUAUAUCAUCAGGCAGCACAUAUUUGGUAUACCAUUCAAAUUUUGCAUUCUAAGUAUGAACAUUUUUAUACUUCAUCUGGUAACAACUGUUUCAUUACCAAAGUUGAUUAAACAUCCUCCUUCUUCAUAAUGGAGCUCCGAUUCUGAACUGUAGCUUGGCAGAAACUGUAUUUCUUUCUUUUUUUUUCUUCUUUCUUUGAUUAUUUUUUAGGCUUUAUAUAUGUAACUGUGAGAAUUUGUCAUUCUCAUAGAAUCUAUACUUUCAGAUGCUUUGCUCCCAGAGGAUUCUGCCAAGAUAUCCAUAGAAGAAAACAGAGAUAUAAAGAUCUGAAAACUCAUUGAUAAAUGUUUUCCCUAUGGCCUAAGGCCUAAAUCUCAGUAAUAACAAUAAUCACAUUUAAGGGAUAGAGCAAUCUUCCUUGUAAAAUCAGUAACUCUCAUUUCAGUGGACAGGAAUGUUCUCUGUCCUUGAUACAUCUCAUUUCUUUUCAUUUUGGUGAACAAUUAUGGCAUUCCAUCUUUCUGACUGAAAGUAACUUGAAUGAAAAAAAAUAGCAUUAAACAUUAGAGAAAAAGUACCUCAGAAAUUAAUCAAAAACAUGACUUAUUUGAGAAAAAAUAUUUUAAGUAAAAUACUUUUAUUAUUUCUGAAUAAAGUAGUAUGUCCCCAAAUUUAUUUAAAACAAAUAAUUUAUCAUGACUAAAAUUCAUUCAAAUCAACUCAUUACAUAUUGCUUGAAUAAUUACAAUAUGGAAGACACUAGGGUUCCUGCUUCAAGAAAUAAGAAAGUAAACCAGUAUGCAGAAUUUCCAUAAUUUUUCUGUUAUUGAAAGUGAUGUGGUCCAAUGCACAAACUUGUGUAGGAAGUGCAUUUUUAUAAAAAUGAUAAAAAGCAAAUUGGUCAAAAUUCUGUGAAAACAUCUAAGAUUAAUGAUAAUUUCCUAUUUAUUUAUGCAUUGUGAGAAAAUUCUGUAUUUUUCAAAAGUGAUUAAUGUCAUAGAAGGUGAGUGUUUAUUCAAAACAGAAGACUAGUUUAGAAAACAAACUGCGAUUAGAUAUGAAUUUGUGCUGCUAUAUAUAAAAUAGAUAACCAACAAGGACCUACUGUAUAGCAUAGGGAACUCUACUCAAUAUUAUGAUAAACCUAUAUGGGUAAAGAA